GGGGUUGUAGCUCAGUCUUAGAGCUCCCGCUUCGUAUGCGGGAAGACUUGGGUUCAAUUCCCGGCUACUCAC
Molecule: transfer RNA, 72 nt
Filed under: Toxocara canis (dog roundworm)
Lineage: Eukaryota; Metazoa; Nematoda; Chromadorea; Rhabditida; Toxocaridae
Rfam family: tRNA
About the family: Transfer RNA (tRNA) molecules are approximately 80 nucleotides in length. Their secondary structure includes four short double-helical elements and three loops (D, anti-codon, and T loops).
Source: Rfam by way of RNAcentral